Non-coding RNA from Rhincodon typus (whale shark), 83 nucleotides. NCBI's taxonomy places the organism in Eukaryota, Metazoa, Chordata, Chondrichthyes, Orectolobiformes, Rhincodontidae. The record is from the annotation of a RefSeq genome assembly.
GGUAAGAUGAUUCCUAGUGGUCUAGGGUGCAGGCUUCAAACCUGUAGCUAUCCAGCAACAGAGUGGCUCAAUUCCACCUUCCA